GAUGAACGCUGGCGGCGUGCCUAAUACAUGCAAGUCGAGCGGAUGAAGGAGAAUUGCUCUUGUCUUCAGUUGGGGGCGGGUGGGUGAUUCAUACGAAUCUACCUUGCAUUUGGGGAUAACGUACGUUCAGGGGCGCUGAUCUCGCACACGAUCUGAGUUUGAACGUCAUGGUUCUUAGGUCCAAGACGGUCUAGAUGUGCCUUAUACAGAUUUCCUCGCUGGAUUAGCUAGUUGCUAAGGUAACGGCCUACCAAGGCUACGAUGCAUAGCUGACCUGAGAGGGUGAUCGGCCACACUGGAACUGAGACACGGUCCAGACUCCUACGGGAGGCAGCAGUAGGGAAUAUUCCGCAAUGGGCGAAAGCCUGACGGAGCAAUGCCGCGUGAGUGAUGAAGGUCUUCGGAUCGUAAAACUCUGUUAGUAGGGAAGAACAGAUGUGUAAGUAAAUGUGCAUAUCUUGACGGUACCAAAUCAGAAAGCCACGGCUAACUACGUG
Molecule: ribosomal RNA, 497 nt
Filed under: uncultured bacterium
Lineage: Bacteria
Description: partial 16S ribosomal RNA
Rfam family: Bacterial small subunit ribosomal RNA
Source: RNAcentral